Molecule: ribosomal RNA, 1089 nt
Filed under: Pseudomonas fluorescens
Lineage: Bacteria; Pseudomonadati; Pseudomonadota; Gammaproteobacteria; Pseudomonadales; Pseudomonadaceae
Description: bacterial SSU rRNA
Rfam family: Bacterial small subunit ribosomal RNA
Source: RNAcentral
UGAGUAAUGCCUAGGAAUCUGCCUGGUAGUGGGGGAUAACGUUCGGAAACGGACGCUAAUACCGCAUACGUCCUACGGGAGAAAGCAGGGGACCUUCGGGCCUUGCGCUAUCAGAUGAGCCUAGGUCGGAUUAGCUAGUUGGUGAGGUAAUGGCUCACCAAGGCGACGAUCCGUAACUGGUCUGAGAGGAUGAUCAGUCACACUGGAACUGAGACACGGUCCAGACUCCUACGGGAGGCAGCAGUGGGGAAUAUUGGACAAUGGGCGAAAGCCUGAUCCAGCCAUGCCGCGUGUGUGAAGAAGGUCUUCGGAUUGUAAAGCACUUUAAGUUGGGAGGAAGGGUUGUAGAUUAAUACUCUGCAAUAUUGACGUUACCGACAGAAUAAGCACCGGCUAACUCUGUGCCAGCAGCCGCGGUAAUACAGAGGGUGCAAGCGUUAAUCGGAAUUACUGGGCGUAAAGCGCGCGUAGGUGGUUUGUUAAGUUGGAUGUGAAAUCCCCGGGCUCAACCUGGGAACUGCAUUCAAAACUGACUGACUAGAGUAUGGUAGAGGGUGGUGGAAUUUCCUGUGUAGCGGUGAAAUGCGUAGAUAUAGGAAGGAACACCAGUGGCGAAGGCGACCACCUGGACUAAUACUGACACUGAGGUGCGAAAGCGUGGGGAGCAAACAGGAUUAGAUACCCUGGUAGUCCACGCCGUAAACGAUGUCAACUAGCCGUUGGAAGCCUUGAGCUUGUAGUGGCGCAGCUAACGCAUUAAGUUGACCGCCUGGGGAGUACGGCCGCAAGGUUAAAACUCAAAUGAAUUGACGGGGGCCCGCACAAGCGGGUGGAGCAUGUGGUUUAAUUUCGAAGCAACCGCGAGAACUCUUUACCAAGGCCCUGUACAUUCCUAGUGAACUUUCUAGAAGAUAGAUUGGUGCCUUUCGGAACAUUGAGACAGAGCUGCCAUGGCUGUCGCUCACCUCGUGUCCUGGAGCAAUGUUGGAUUAAGUUCCGUACGAGGCAACCUUUGGUCCUUAGUACAGACGGUAAAUGGGUGGUCACUCCUUAGGAACUUGCGGGUGACCAACGGAGCUAGGGUGAGGA